This 1263-nucleotide ribosomal RNA is filed under the name Salmonella enterica. Its description in RNAcentral is "partial 23S ribosomal RNA". It matches the Rfam family "Bacterial large subunit ribosomal RNA", at positions 1689 to 2925 of the family's 2925-position model. Lineage: Bacteria; Pseudomonadati; Pseudomonadota; Gammaproteobacteria; Enterobacterales; Enterobacteriaceae. The record is from RNAcentral.
CUUGAGAGAACUCGGGUGAAGGAACUAGGCAAAAUGGUGCCGUAACUUCGGGAGAAGGCACGCUGACACGUAGGUGAAGUGAUUUACUCACGGAGCUGAAGUCAGUCGAAGAUACCAGCUGGCUGCAACUGUUUAUUAAAAACACAGCACUGUGCAAACACGAAAGUGGACGUAUACGGUGUGACGCCUGCCCGGUGCCGGAAGGUUAAUUGAUGGGGUCAGCGCAAGCGAAGCUCCUGAUCGAAGCCCCGGUAAACGGCGGCCGUAACUAUAACGGUCCUAAGGUAGCGAAAUUCCUUGUCGGGUAAGUUCCGACCUGCACGAAUGGCGUAAUGAUGGCCAGGCUGUCUCCACCCGAGACUCAGUGAAAUUGAACUCGCUGUGAAGAUGCAGUGUACCCGCGGCAAGACGGAAAGACCCCGUGAACCUUUACUAUAGCUUGACACUGAACAUUGAGCCUUGAUGUGUAGGAUAGGUGGGAGGCUUUGAAGCGUGGACGCCAGUCUGCGUGGAGCCGACCUUGAAAUACCACCCUUUAAUGUUUGAUGUUCUAACGUGGACCCGUGAUCCGGGUUGCGGACAGUGUCUGGUGGGUAGUUUGACUGGGGCGGUCUCCUCCUAAAGAGUAACGGAGGAGCACGAAGGUUGGCUAAUCCUGGUCGGACAUCAGGAGGUUAGUGCAAUGGCAUAAGCCAGCUUGACUGCGAGCGUGACGGCGCGAGCAGGUGCGAAAGCAGGUCAUAGUGAUCCGGUGGUUCUGAAUGGAAGGGCCAUCGCUCAACGGAUAAAAGGUACUCCGGGGAUAACAGGCUGAUACCGCCCAAGAGUUCAUAUCGACGGCGGUGUUUGGCACCUCGAUGUCGGCUCAUCACAUCCUGGGGCUGAAGUAGGUCCCAAGGGUAUGGCUGUUCGCCAUUUAAAGUGGUACGCGAGCUGGGUUUAGAACGUCGUGAGACAGUUCGGUCCCUAUCUGCCGUGGGCGCUGGAGAACUGAGGGGGGCUGCUCCUAGUACGAGAGGACCGGAGUGGACGCAUCACUGGUGUUCGGGUUGUCAUGCCAAUGGCACUGCCCGGUAGCUAAAUGCGGAAGAGAUAAGUGCUGAAAGCAUCUAAGCACGAAACUUGCCCCGAGAUGAGUUCUCCCUGAGACUUUAGGUCUCCUGAAGGAACGUUGAAGACGACGACGUUGAUAGGCCGGGUGUGUAAGCGCAGCGAUGCGUUGAGCUAACCGGUACUAAUGAACCGUGAGGCUUAACCUUACAA